RNAcentral lists this ribosomal RNA (824 nucleotides) under uncultured bacterium. RNAcentral describes it as "bacterial SSU rRNA". It matches the Rfam family "Bacterial small subunit ribosomal RNA", at positions 554 to 1381 of the family's 1533-position model. The record is from RNAcentral.
CUGGGCGUAAAGCGUGCGCAGGCGGAUUGUUAAGCAAGACGUGAAAGCCCCGGGCUUAACCUGGGAAUGGCGUUUUGAACUGGCAGUCUAGAGUGCGUCAGAGGGGGGUGGAAUUCCACGUGUAGCAGUGAAAUGCGUAGAGAUGUGGAGGAACACCAAUGGCGAAGGCAGCCCCCUGGGAUGACACUGACGCUCAUGUACGAAAGCGUGGGUAGCAAACAGGAUUAGAUACCCUGGUAGUCCACGCCCUAAACGAUGUCAACUGGUUGUUGGGGGAGUGAAAUCCCUUAGUAACGAAGCUAACGCGUGAAGUUGACCGCCUGGGGAGUACGGUCGCAAGAUUAAAACUCAAAGGAAUUGACGGGGACCCGCACAAGCGGUGGAUGAUGUGGAUUAAUUCGAUGCAACGCGAAAAACCUUACCUACCCUUGACAUGUCCAGGAUCCUGCAGAGAUGCGGGAGUGCCCGAAAGGGAAUUGGAACACAGGUGCUGCAUGGCUGUCGUCAGCUCGUGUCGUGAGAUGUUGGGUUAAGUCCCGCAACGAGCGCAACCCUUAUCAUUAGUUGCUACGCAAGGGCACUCUAAUGAGACUGCCGGUGACAAACCGGAGGAAGGUGGGGAUGACGUCAAGUCCUCAUGGCCCUUAUGGGUAGGGCUUCACACGUCAUACAAUGGUCGGUACAGAGGGUUGCCAAGCCGCGAGGUGGAGCCAAUCCCAGAAAGCCGAUCGUAGUCCGGAUUGUUCUCUGCAACUCGAGAGCAUGAAGUCGGAAUCGCUAGUAAUCGCGGAUCAGCAUGUCGCGGUGAAUACGUUCCCGGGUCU